Molecule: ribosomal RNA, 253 nt
Filed under: uncultured bacterium
Lineage: Bacteria
Description: partial 16S ribosomal RNA
Rfam family: Bacterial small subunit ribosomal RNA
Source: RNAcentral
UACGUAGGGUGCGAGCGUUAAUCGGAAUUACUGGGCGUAAAGCGUGCGCAGGCGGUUGGGCGUGUCCUGGGUGAAAGCCCCGGGCUUAACCUGGGAAUGGCAUGGGAAACUGGCUGGCUGGAGUGUGGCAGAGGGGGGUGGAAUUCCGCGUGUAGCAGUGAAAUGCGUAGAGAUGCGGAGGAACACCGAUGGCGAAGGCAGCCCCCUGGGCUGACACUGACGCUCAGGCACGAAAGCGUGGGGAGCAAACAGG